Molecule: ribosomal RNA, 410 nt
Filed under: uncultured microorganism
Description: bacterial SSU rRNA
Rfam family: Bacterial small subunit ribosomal RNA
Source: RNAcentral
CAGCCGCCGCGGUAAUACGUAGGGUGCGAGCGUUAAUCGGAUUUACUGGGCGUAAAGCGUGCGCAGGCGGCCCGUUAAGACAGGUGUGAAAUCCCUGGGCUCAACCUAGGAAUUGCGCUUGCGACUGGCGGGCUCGAGUACGGUAGAGGGGGGUGGAAUUCCUGGUGUAGCAGUGAAAUGCGUAGAGAUCAGGAGGAACACCGAUGGCGAAGGCAGCCCCCUGGGCCUGUACUGACGCUCAUGCACGAAAGCGUGGGGAGCAAACAGGAUUAGAUACCCUGGUAGUCCACGCCCUAAACGAUGGGUACUAGCCGUUUGGUGCGCGAUAGCGCUGAGUGGCGAAGCUAACGCGUGAAGUACCCCGCCUGGGGAGUACGGCCGCAAGGUUGAAACUUAAAGGAAUUGGCGGG